This 448-nucleotide ribosomal RNA is filed under the name uncultured bacterium. RNAcentral describes it as "bacterial SSU rRNA". It matches the Rfam family "Bacterial small subunit ribosomal RNA", at positions 329 to 794 of the family's 1533-position model. The record is from RNAcentral.
ACCCAGACUCCUACGGGAGGCAGCAGUGGGGAAUAUUGCACAAUGGGGGAAACCCUGAUGCAGCGACGCCGCGUGAAGGAAGAAGUAUUUCGGUAUGUAAACUUCUAUCAGCAGGGAAGAAAAUGACGGUACCUGACUAAGAAGCCCCGGCUAACUACGUGCCAGCAGCCGCGGUAAUACGUAGGGGGCAAGCGUUAUCCGGAUUUACUGGGUGUAAAGGGAGCGUAGGCGGCGAUGCAAGUCAGAAGUGAAGGCCCGGGGCUCAACUCCGGGACUGCUUUUGAAACUGUAUGGCUAGAUUGCAGGAGAGGCAAGUGGAAUUCCUAGUGUAGCGGUGAAAUGCGUAGAUAUUAGGAGGAACACCAGUGGCGAAGGCGGCUUGCCGGACUGUAAAUGACGCUGAGGCUCGAAAGCGUGGGGAGCAAACAGGAUUAGAUACCCUAGUAGC